GCAGUGGGUACGGGCAGACUAGAGUGCGGUAGGGGAGAUUGGAAUUCCUGGUGUAGCGGUGGAAUGCGCAGAUAUCAGGAGGAACACCGAUGGCGAAGGCAGAUCUCUGGGCCGUAACUGACGCUGAGGAGCGAAAGGGUGGGGAGCAAACAGGCUUAGAUACCCUGGUAGUCCACCCCGUAAACGUUGGGAACUAGUUGUGGGGUCCAUUCCACGGAUUCCGUGACGCAGCUAACGCAUUAAGUUCCCCGCCUGGGGAGUACGGCCGCAAGGCUAAAACUCAAAGGAAUUGACGGGGACCCGCACAAGCGGCGGAGCAUGCGGAUUAAUUCGAUGCAACGCGAAGAACCUUACCAAGGCUUGACAUAUACGAGAACGCCGCAGAAAUGUGGAACUCUUUGGACACUCGUAAACAGGUGGUGCAUGGUUGUCGUCAGCUCGUGUCGUGAGAUGUUGGGUUAAGUCCCGCAACGAGCGCAACCCUCGUUCUAUGUUGCCAGCACGUAAUGGUGGGAACUCAUGGGAUACUGCCGGGGUCAACUCGGAGGAAGGUGGGGAUGACGUCAAAUCAUCAUGCCCCUUAUGUCUUGGGCUUCACGCAUGCUACAAUGGCCGGUACAAAGGGCUGCAAUACCGUAAGGUGGAGCGAAUCCCAAAAAGCCGGUCCCAGUUCGGAUUGAGGUCUGCAAC
RNAcentral lists this ribosomal RNA (690 nucleotides) under uncultured bacterium. RNAcentral describes it as "bacterial SSU rRNA". It matches the Rfam family "Bacterial small subunit ribosomal RNA", at positions 623 to 1311 of the family's 1533-position model. The record is from RNAcentral.